Molecule: ribosomal RNA, 316 nt
Filed under: uncultured Treponema sp.
Lineage: Bacteria; Pseudomonadati; Spirochaetota; Spirochaetia; Treponematales; Treponemataceae
Description: bacterial SSU rRNA
Rfam family: Bacterial small subunit ribosomal RNA
Source: RNAcentral
CUAAGAAUAUUCCGCAAUGGAGGAAACUCUGACGGAGCGACGCCGCGUGGAUGAUGAAGGUCGGAAGAUUGUAAAAUCCUUUUAAGUAUGAUGAAUAACCUGAUCAGGAAAUGGGACAGGGAUGACCGUAAUACUUGAAUAAGCAACGGCUAAUUACGUGCCAGCAGCCGCGGUAACACGUAAGUUGCGGGCGUUGUUCGGAAUUAUUGGGCGUAAAGGGCAUGUAGGCGGUUUUGCAAGCUUGAUGUGAAAUGCCGGGGCUUAACUCCGGCACUGCGUUGAGAACUGCAUGACUAGAGUAACUGAGGGGCGAGCC